GGGUCAGUAGGUUGGUCGUGCCACCGGUACGUACUGGUCUAACUGAUUCCUCCUUCCUGAAGAACCGUAAUGCCAUUAAUUUGGUGUUGCGGGGAAACAGGACUGUUACUUUGAAAAAAUUAGAGUGUUUAAAGCAAGCUAGCGCUUGAAUACAUUAGCAUGGAAUAAUGAAAUAGGACGAUCGAUCCUAUUUUGUUGGUUUCUAGGAUUGACGUA
This 216-nucleotide ribosomal RNA is filed under the name Glomeromycotina sp. RNAcentral describes it as "partial small subunit ribosomal RNA". The stretch from base 40 to 216 matches the Rfam family "Eukaryotic small subunit ribosomal RNA", at positions 686 to 864 of the family's 1831-position model. Lineage: Eukaryota; Fungi; Glomeromycota. The record is from RNAcentral.